This is an RNA transcript of Aedes albopictus (Asian tiger mosquito), 2175 nucleotides long. RefSeq lists it as uncharacterized. The transcript is spliced from 4 exons. The record is from RefSeq and is a predicted model, not a curated record. Lineage: Eukaryota; Metazoa; Arthropoda; Insecta; Diptera; Culicidae.
GUUGAGAGUGGAGCCGUGGACCCGCUGUGAUUUAAUAUUUCUUCAGGUGAGCGUGAGAGAACUCUUGAGAGAACUCGCUGCAGAACGUGCGUUUGACACAAGAACUAAACAAAAAUCGCAUUAUGAACGAUUCCAAGUACGCAUCAACGGACGAAGGGGACGUUUUGCUGAUUUGUGAACCGAUUACCAUCGACGGAGUAGAAAAUCAGGAGGAAACGAAACAAGAGGUGAUCAUACCUGUCGAUUCGGAUGACGGACGUUUGGAACCGGAAGAUGUGGAAGUUUACCAUCAACCAGAAGAAAAUGUGCCCUCGGUUGAAGAACUGGUUCCGGUGCAGUGGAUGUCAGGCGUUUGGAACAUCGAUAGUUAUAGAAGUAGCUUCGAAACCGAUGAGCACUGGGAACUGCGGAGGAUGUUCAUGGACCAACACAAGGAUAGCAUACCGGAAGAAGAACUGGUAGCUCUGGCACAAGCCUUCGCGAAUUCGUUACUGCUUAACGCUGUAUACUGCAAAGAAGUUUCAGAUAGGCUUGAUUUGCUGGGAGCAUCAAUAGCUACAAGGUAUCGAAGCUCUCGAGCCCAUUCCGCUGCCAAGGUUACGGUUCCUGCGUCGAAUGCAGUUGCGGACUGGUUGCGGAAAAUUCCGGAAGGGCUCAAAAUAGUUCAACGAAAGCAGUUAGCCACAAGGUUGUUGCAACCCGCAAUCCCUAUCACAUCUCUGGAAGACGUAUUCCGAAAUUUCAUUCUGUUGGAUGACAACCUGGAGAAUAGCGGAAGGGAAUUCGGAAUGCUCAAUUGCGGAUUGUUUGUGGUACGAGUGGUGUCCCAGGAGCGCAAACAAUGGGUGGCCAGCGUUACGGCGGCAGGAUAUUUGCUAAGUAAAUCCAACGGGCCGAAAAAGAAAGCAAACCGUGCCUGCAGGGAAGAAGCGCUGCAACUGUUGAGACGGAAAUGCUAUAAGAUCAAGACAAAUCCUAAUCGUUGCUGGGACAGUUGUAACGUGGAACGAUUGGAAUCAACGGAAGCUUUGGACUGGAAUGGAAAUCCGUUCGGGAAAUCUUCCAAAUCUCAAACAUCGAAGGAUAAGCUCAAAGAGGAUAACAUCGGAUUCCGAAUGCUGAUGAAACUCGGCUGGGGCGGUGGACCGCUCGGCAAGCACAAGGAUGGCAUCGUGGACCCGAUAGAAGUUCAAGCGAAACGUGGCCGAAGGGGCCUCGGAUUGGUGCAGCUCAAAUCGGCUUCGUCCCCGUCCGUGGAGGGUUCACAGUACCCGAACAAAUUUCUAACGGAGGGAUUCGAUUUACAAAGCGAAUCGUUUCAUAUCGACGUGAAUUUCUACCGUGACCUGAUGGUGAAUUUUAAGGCGCGACAGCUGGGAUAUGACCUAAUGUUUUCGAUAGAUUUCACCGAAAUCGAGAGGGCUCUGCUCUGCAAGAUAGCUUCCGAUUUGAACCUACAAUGUAAGACCGUUACCUAUGACUACGAGCAUUAUCAAUUCGUGUUAUUGAAACAUCGAGUCUCACCACACGAUUUGUUGGUGAAAAUUCUAGUGGACAAACACCCAAUUUACAGUGCACUGUAUACAGUGGAACCCCCGGAGGAAGAUCCAACUAGACAUAAGAAAGUACUAGAGCUGUGCUCUGGAUAGAGAAUAAAAGCAAAGGUUUUAAAAUUAUUAACGAACGAUGUUUAUAGCGCCAUUUUCCGAUGCACUUCGAUGCCCCGACCGUGUGGCCUAAUGGAUGAAGGCGUCGGACUUCGAAUCCGAAGAUUGCAGGUUCGAGUCCUGUCACGGUCGAAACAGCUAACGAUGCUUAAUUUUUGGCUAAAUUUGGCAUUUAUCGUUGUGCAAUUAGCAUGUGCAUUGUGUCGGGGAAAUUGCGAUGUAAUGGCAUUGUCUGCGCAUGCCCUAUUUGUACCCCUCUCGUGAGCGAUAGGGGUGAGGAUUGUAUCUGUUGUACCGGUUAGGUAGGGGUAAGCAUGUGUGUAUUUGCCUUGGGAAAUUGUGAAUCUACGGAUCUACCGUCUGUUGCUCUGCAUGUCAACAAAUUAAGUCAAAAAAUCGCUCCUCGGUUACCGUGAGAUGCCCAUAUUUUGUACACUUAAGAAUUCUCAAACUCAAAGUUUGAUAAACGACUAAAAUUUUACCAUAAAGUAUGUCAAAUUCAAUUCUU